UAAAAAGCGCAGAUGAGGAUAAGUAGCUUUGCUGAAGUUUUUCACAGAGAGCCGGGAACGCUGAGAACCGGCAAAACAACUCAAAGUGAACUCGCCUCAGAGUGCCGGUCUGAAAUGUAAAGAGUAGGACUCGGCCGAGUGAACUGUCAUGUUUACUCGUUAUCAAAACGGAUAGAAAUUAUCCAUGAGACGGUCGGUAAAAGACCGUAAACAAGGGUGGUACCGCGGAAAGUAAAGCCUUUUCGCCCCUUUU
Molecule: non-coding RNA, 253 nt
Filed under: Bacillus sp. (in: firmicutes)
Lineage: Bacteria; Bacillati; Bacillota; Bacilli; Caryophanales; Bacillaceae
Description: Bacillus sp. T-box sequence
Rfam family: T-box leader
About the family: Uncharged tRNA acts as the effector for transcription antitermination of genes in the T-box leader family. T-boxes are found upstream of many aminoacyl-tRNA synthetase genes and some amino acid biosynthetic genes usually in Gram-positive bacteria. The anticodon of a specific tRNA base pairs to a specifier sequence within the T-box motif, and the NCCA acceptor tail of the tRNA base pairs to a conserved bulge in the T-box antiterminator hairpin.
Source: RNAcentral